Molecule: long non-coding RNA, 1427 nt
Filed under: Callithrix jacchus (white-tufted-ear marmoset)
Lineage: Eukaryota; Metazoa; Chordata; Mammalia; Primates; Cebidae
Description: lncRNA (ENSCJAG00000076536.1)
Source: RNAcentral
GGUACUGUACCAGACAUUAAAGAUACAAGAUGAAAAAGAUAUUCUCAUGGAUUAAUUGAUGAUAUAAUUUAAAAUAGAAAACUGAAAGAAUAGGUCGUCUUAUGUGUUAUGAGGACAGCAAUGGCCGCCCUCUGCGGGUGCUUGUGCACUGCAGUGCACCCUCCACAGGAUUUCACAGAGAGUCUGGGAUGCUUACUGCACUUGCAGGGACCCUUGAAGGGCUCUUCAGGUCUACAGGUGUGAUGUGAGCCAUAAUUUGAGAAAUAGUGGUCAGAACCAAAUUUUUUUUAUGACCUGGAAUAAGGCUAUUUGUAUCCUUUUAAAAUAAUCCUCUGUAUCUGUUAUAGGAUUUCUCCCAUCUUACUCCAGGAGAAAUGGAAGCUUCAGAGUACCAUCACCAUGCUCAUUCUCAAAACGUCCUUGGUAUGCCUUGGGACUCAAUCAAAGGUCCCUACUACAUCCUGCUUCUCUUCCAAGUAUCUUGCCUGUUUUCCCUGGUGUGCCUCAGGCACACCCCAGGGCCUGCUUAGAAGAGACAGAUUUCUUCCUUCUAUGUUAGAGCCCCUCAAGGAGCAACAGAGUGCCAGUCAGGAGGCUCCUCCUCCCCUGACUCGUGACAAUCAGGAGUCCUUGGCUUGGGAAAUCCUCUCAACGCAGCAGGCACAGAAGUGCAAUCUUGACUGGAAUCCUUACACUCACCCCUCGCAAGUCAAAUCCUUCCCAUAUGUCAAGGCUUAACCUCUGGUCCUCCUCAUCUGAGAAGCCUUCCCAACUACUCUAAUCUGUGCUAACUUCCCCUUUUUUGGGGGAAUCUUAAUCUUAACAGCAGAGGUAUAUGAGGAGAGGGUGCCUCAGGGCCUCUGUUCCUGUGAGGAGGAAUAUUUUAUCACAGAUGUUAAGAGUUGUAAACUAGUGAUUAGAAAAAGCAGACCUCCCUUGAGUCAUUCUGUUUUUUCUAAAUCCUCAGUGCACACUGCACCCCCUUAUUGUGUGCACUGGGAGGGAUGGGUGUUCCAGUGCACCCACCUGCUUGGCACACCAUGGCUUAACAGUGACUCACAGCUUGCCAUGUGGUUUCUGCACCUGUUUCAUGUGCCUUAGUUUUCUUCCCCAAGCGAGGGAUAAGUCACUGAUGGCUGCGAUGAGUCUUAGAAUUUUUAGCCACUCCUUCUGAGCCCUGCCCAAUCCUGGGCUCACCAUCGAUGUGUAACAGAAUUGCUUGAUUUCGUGGGUUAAUAUUUAGAGUGGUCCUCCCUUCCCAGCAAUUCUACAGCAGUGCUUUUCCCUUGAAAUAAUCCCUCCAGAUCAGCUUUGAGGAGAUGAGGGAUUGGAGUGUGUGCGUGUGCGUGUGUGUGUGUGUGCGCGCGUGUGUGUGCGUGUGUGUAGUGAAGGAAGAGGGGUCAUGUGCAGGAGUGACGCCUGUACAC